This 1967-nucleotide ribosomal RNA is filed under the name human gut metagenome. RNAcentral's name for it is "bacterial LSU rRNA". It matches the Rfam family "Bacterial large subunit ribosomal RNA", at positions 1 to 1983 of the family's 2925-position model. The record is from RNAcentral.
GAAAGUAGGAAAGGGCGCAUGGCGGAUGCCUUGGCUCUCGGAGGCGAUGAAGGACGUGAUAAGCUGCGAUAAGUCACGGGGAGGUGCAAAUAACCUUUGAUCCGUGAAUCUCCGAAUGGGACAACCCGAUAUCCUGAAGGGAUAUCACCUCAUCUAGUUGAGGAGCUAACGCAGGGAACUGAAACAUCUUAGUACCUGCAGGAAAAGAAAAUAACAAUGAUUCCCCCAGUAGUGGCGAGCGAACGGGGAAUAGCCCAAACCAUUCAUGUUACGGCAUGGAUGGGGUUGUAGGACCACGGCGUUGCAAGAGAUCUUGUGAGAAGAACAGCCUGGAAAGACUGACCAGAGACGGUGACAGUCCGGUAUUCGAAGCAAGACGAAGCAUAGUGGUAUCCUGAGUAGCGCGGAACACGAGGAAUUCUGCGUGAAUCUGCCGGGACCAUCCGGUAAGGCUAAAUACUCCCGAGAGACCGAUAGUGGACCAGUACCGUGAGGGAAAGGUGAAAAGCACUUCGAACAGAAGAGUGAAAGAGUACCUGAAACCGUGCGCCUACAAGCGGUCGGAGCACGAAAGUGUGACGGCGUGCCUUUUGCAUAAUGAACCUACGAGUUACCGUAUCUGGCAAGGUUAAGGGUCACGAGACCUGCAGCCGAAGCGAAAGCGAGUCUGAAGAGGGCGUCGAGUCAGUUGCGGUAGACGCGAAACCAAGUGAUCUACCCUUGGCCAGGAUGAAGUCUGGGUAACACCAGAUGGAGGUCCGCACCAAUAAGCGUUGAAAAGCUUCUGGAUGAGCUGAGGGUAGGGGUGAAAGGCUAAUCAAACUUGGAGAUAGCUCGUACUCCCCGAAAUGCAUUUAGGUGCAGCCUCGCGGGUUACUGAUGUGAGGUAGAGCGACUGAUUGGAUGCGAGGGCUUCACCGCCUAUCAAGUCCUGACAAACUCCGAAUGCGCAUCAGUUUUACCGCGGGAGUGAGGGCAUGGGUGCUAAGGUCCGUGCCCGAGAGGAGAAGAAUCCGGACUAUCAGCUAAGGCCCCGAAAUGACAGCUAAGUUAAACUAACGAAGUCUGAUUGCUAAGACAGCUAGGAUGUUGGCUUGGAAGCAGCCAUUCAUUUAAAGAGUGCGUAACAGCUCACUAGUCGAGGAAUCGGGCGUGGAUAAUAAUCGGGUAUUAAGUUGUCUGCCGAAGCUAUAGAAUCAGCAAUGAUUGGUAGGGGAGCAUUCCAUUCUGCGUUGAAGGCGUGGCGUGAGCCAUUCUGGAGCGUAUGGAAAAGCAAAUGUAGGUAUAAGUAACGAUAAAGGGGGUGAGAAACCCCCUCGCCGAAAGACUAAGGUUUCCUGAUCAACGCUAAUCGGAUCAGGGUAAGUCGGGUCCUAAGGUUCAGCCGAACGGCGAGACCGAUGGCAGAAACGGUUAAUAUUCCGUUACUACCUUUGAGGGUGACGUGGGGACGCAGGAGUGACACCGCCGCCGGCUGACGGAAUAGCCGGUUAAAGAGUGUAGACGUUGAUUUCCGCAGGCAAAUCCACGGAAAGAGUCGAACUUGACAGUAUGGAACGUCCUUCGGGACAAUCCAAUAGUGCGGGUAAGCAGACUGCCUAGAAAAUCCGCUAAACAUAACUUCAGAGGUACCCGUACCGCAAACGGACACACGUAGUCGGGUUGAAUAUACUAAGGCGCUUGAGUGAAUCACGGUUAAGGAACUAGGCAAACUGACCCUGUAACUUCGGGAUAAAGGGUCCCUACCCAGAAAUGGGAGGGCGCAGAGAAUAGGUCCAGGCAACUGUUUAACAAAAACACAGGGCUGUGCCAAUAUGAAAGUAGACGUAUACAGCCUGACACCUGCCCGGUGCUGGAAGGUUAAGAGGAGAUGUCAUCGCAAGAGAAGCAUUGAAUUGAAGCCCCAGUAAACGGCGGCCGUAACUAUAACGGUCCUAAGGUAGCGAAAUUCCUUGUCGGGUAAGUUC